Molecule: long non-coding RNA, 829 nt
Filed under: Elaeis guineensis (African oil palm)
Lineage: Eukaryota; Viridiplantae; Streptophyta; Magnoliopsida; Arecales; Arecaceae
Description: long non-coding RNA (EGUI_LNC000036)
Source: RNAcentral
ACCCUCAGACGUUCAAGUCAAAAAUCUGAUAAUAGGAAAGAAGAAGUGAGCGUAUUGAGAGAAAGAAGAGAUUUCAUACAUUAAGGAUCAGAUGGAGGCUAAAGAGUCGUGACAAGAAAGAGAAUCAGAUGAUUAGCCUUAACUUAUCUGAAGAGAUAUGGUCAUUAUCUUUCUUUUAUUUGGAGAGAUUUUAUUUGUUAUUUUUUGUUAUCUACUCUGCUGCCAAUGAUCAUUUAAAUUUUGAAAGAGACACGUGUUUUGAAGAUCCAUGAGGGUCCAUCCUUUCUUGUGGGCUUCACAUCUUCAGCCAGAACGAAAUUAUCUCCAACAUUAGCCCUCCUACUCUCGAGUCCGAAUCAGAAUGGGGUUAGACGAAAGGAGUACCUCAGCUUUACCGAAGACGUAUUAUGUCUAUAGCUUUCGAUAAGGUGAGGAGUCUUAUUGUCUUCAAUGACUAAACCGAUCAAAGACCGUCUUAUUAUCUUCAAUGACUGAGCUGAUCAAAAGCCGUCUUUUUAUCUGUUGUUGGAGUUGACGAAUUGAGAGUCCUUGUAGGUUAUCCCUCAUUUGUUAUCAAAGUCGAUGGGCUGAGGGUCCUUAACAGUUAUCUCUCCGAAGGUCUAUAUAAGUUAGCCUCCACUUCUCGUACAGCUAAGGUCUUCAUGGGUGUUGACUCGCUAAAAAAUAAGGUUCAGCCUUCAAAGGCCCUCAUAGGUCAUCCCCCGCUUCUUAGCCAUAGAGGUCUUUUGCCCAUACAAUUCCCUCUUGUGCGACUAAGAUAUUCAUGGGCAUUGACUUGCUGAAAAGCGAGUUUGACCUUCGAAAGCCC